Molecule: ribosomal RNA, 253 nt
Filed under: uncultured bacterium
Lineage: Bacteria
Description: partial 16S ribosomal RNA
Rfam family: Bacterial small subunit ribosomal RNA
Source: RNAcentral
UACGGAGGGGGCUAGCGUUGUUCGGAAUUACUGGGCGUAAAGCGCGCGUAGGCGGACCUGCAAGUCGGGGGUGAAAGCCCGAGGCUCAACCUCGGAACUGCCUUCGAUACUGCGGGUCUCGAGUCCGGGAGAGGUGAGUGGAAUUCCUAGUGUAGAGGUGAAAUUCGUAGAUAUUAGGAAGAACACCAGUGGCGAAGGCGGCUCACUGGCUCGGUACUGACGCUGAGGCGCGAAAGCUAGGGGAGCAAACGGG